CAAGAAGUAUGCUGAAUUGCUGGAUGAACAUCGUACUGAGCAAAAGAAGUUAAAGCUCCUCCAAAAGAAACAGGUACAAAUUCAAAAAGAAAAGGACCAGUUACAAGGUGAACACAGCAGAGCUAUCCUCGCUCGAAGCAAAUUGGAGAGUCUGUGCCGGGAGCUGCAGAGACACAACAAGACUCUGAAGGAAGAGGCGCUUCAGCGGGCACGUGAGGAAGAAGAGAAAAGGAAGGAAAUCACAAGCCAUUUCCAGAGUACCCUCACGGACAUCCAGGGCCAGAUCGAGCAGCAGAGUGAGCGAAAUAUGAAGCUCUGUCAGGAGAACACAGAGCUUGCAGAAAAGCUGAAAAGCAUCAUCGAUCAGUAUGAGCUCAGAGAGGAGCAUCUGGACAAAAUAUUUAAACACAGAGAACUGCAGCAGAAGCUGGUGGAUGCAAAGCUUGAGCAGGCCCAAGAAAUGAUGAAGGAAGCGGAGGAGCGACACAAACGAGAAAAGGAAUAUUUGCUGAACCAGGCAGCAGAGUGGAAACUUCAGGCGAAAGUGCUGAAGGAGCAAGAGACAGUCCUGCAGGCUCAGCUCACUCUCUACUCAGGAAGGUUUGAAGAAUUCCAGAGCACACUAACUAAAAGCAACGAGGUGUUUGCCACGUUCAAACAGGAAAUGGACAAAACAACUAAGAAAAUGAAGAAGCUGGAAAAGGACACAGCCACAUGGAAAGCCCGAUUUGAGAACUGUAACAAAGCUCUGUUGGACAUGAUUGAAGAGCCCUCCUGACUGCUCCAAGAAUUUCAUCGAACAAGACUCAAAGAGGCCCAGCUGCUCUGCGUUUUGAUUCUUCUCCCUCUCUCAGUCCACACUGACCUGGGAGGGGCUUCUCAAACACCACAUUUCCUAGCGUGCUGUGAGAAGAGGACUGUGAGCUAAGAAGGGAGAAAAG
RNAcentral lists this long non-coding RNA (941 nucleotides) under Homo sapiens (human). RNAcentral's name for it is "non-protein coding lnc-TXLNB-3:18". The record is from RNAcentral. Lineage: Eukaryota; Metazoa; Chordata; Mammalia; Primates; Hominidae.